UAUCUGGGUGUUUGGUCAAGAAAAAUAUCUCUUUAUCCCUUGGAGAAAAGGCUGGUGUCCCUCUUGCCUGAUACCACCAGACCUUCCACAGCAAGACUCCAUGGCGACAGCCCUCCCUUCUCUUCCUUCACCUGGGGGCGAAGAGAAGCUGCAAGACCCCAUCCCAGACCUACUCACACUCAUCGCCCGCCUCCGCUGUGGCAAUGGCCUCCUGACUGACGCUCUUGCUCCCGGCCCAUCCACAGUCCCUUCUCCGCAAAGCAGCCAGUUUGUUUUUUAGGGCUCUUGGCCUUAAAUACACAUGGCUGAGCAAGGGUCAUCUGGCAAAUGAAGAAAACUCCUCCGGGAAGCAGACACCAAGUGGUUAGAAAGUGCAUGAGAUUUCCCCAGAUUUUCCGGACACAGUGUCUGUGGAGAACACACAGAAGAGGGAGCAGGAGUCAACAGGGAAAGUUCUCAGACGGCCAUGCGGGACUGGCAUGCAGAAAGAAGAGAGGGAAGGAAGGAGGACUGGGGCGAGGGGGUUUCAGCACGUGGUAUGGAGGCGUCCCAGCCAGAGCUUCAGAACGGAGACUGCCCACUGGAGGAGCCUGCUGGGCAGAGCCCCCUCGGGGCUCAUCCCUCCAUCGUGCUCAGUAAUUGGCUGGAGUUGCCUGAGGAAAGUGGGUCCUCACUUCAGUUCAAGGCU
Mustela erminea (ermine) is the source of this 688-nucleotide long non-coding RNA. RefSeq lists it as uncharacterized. The record is from RefSeq and is a predicted model, not a curated record. The transcript has 3 exons. NCBI's taxonomy places the organism in Eukaryota, Metazoa, Chordata, Mammalia, Carnivora, Mustelidae.